RNAcentral lists this ribosomal RNA (626 nucleotides) under uncultured Russulaceae. RNAcentral describes it as "LSU rRNA". It matches the Rfam family "Eukaryotic large subunit ribosomal RNA", at positions 47 to 649 of the family's 3401-position model. Lineage: Eukaryota; Fungi; Basidiomycota; Agaricomycetes; Russulales; Russulaceae. The record is from RNAcentral.
UAAGCGGAGGAAAGAAACUAACAAGGAUUCCCCUAGUAACUGCGAGUGAAGCGGGAAAAGCUCAAAUUUAAAAUCUGGCGGUCUUUGGCCGUCCGAGUUGUAAUUUAGAGAAGCGUCUUCCGCGCCGGACCGUGCACAAGUCUCCUGGAAUGGAGCGUCAUAGAGGGUGAGAAUCCCGUCUUUGGCACGGAUGCCCGGUGCUUCUGUGAUGCGCUCUCGAAGAGUCGAGUUGUUUGGGAAUGCAGCUCAAAAUGGGUGGUGAACUCCAUCUAAAGCUAAAUAUUGGCGAGAGACCGAUAGCGAACAAGUACCGUGAGGGAAAGAUGAAAAGCACUUUGGAAAGAGAGUGAAACAGUACGUGAAAUUGUUGAAAGGGAAACGCUUGAAGUCAGUCGCGUCGACCGAGACUCAGCCUUGCCUUGGCUUGGUGUACUUCUCGGCCCGACGGGUCAGCGUCAAUUUUGCUCCUCGGAUAAUGGCAAGGGAAAGGUGGCACCUUUACGGGUGUGUUAUAGUCUCCUGUCGCAUGCGAGGGGUGGGAUUGAGGAACUCAGCGCGCACCUUGGUGUCGGGGCAUCUGCCCACGUCACGCGCUUAGGAUGCUGGCGUAAUGGCUUUAAACGACC